RNAcentral lists this ribosomal RNA (520 nucleotides) under Bacillus cereus. Its description in RNAcentral is "partial 23S ribosomal RNA". It matches the Rfam family "Bacterial large subunit ribosomal RNA", at positions 1 to 510 of the family's 2925-position model. The record is from RNAcentral. Lineage: Bacteria; Bacillati; Bacillota; Bacilli; Caryophanales; Bacillaceae.
UUUGGUUAAGUUAGAAAGGGCGCACGGUGGAUGCCUUGACACUAGGAGUCGAUGAAGGACGGGACUAACGCCGAUAUGCUUCGGGGAGCUGUAAGUAAGCUUUGAUCCGAAGAUUUCCGAAUGGGGAAACCCACCAUACGUAAUGGUAUGGUAUCCUUAUCUGAAUACAUAGGGUAAGGAAGACAGACCCAGGGAACUGAAACAUCUAAGUACCUGGAGGAAGAGAAAGCAAAUGCGAUUUCCUGAGUAGCGGCGAGCGAAACGGAACAUAGCCCAAACCAAGAGGCUUGCCUCUUGGGGUUGUAGGACAUUCUAUACGGAGUUACAAAGGAACGAGGUAGACGAAGCGACCUGGAAAGGUCCGUCGUAGAGGGUAACAACCCCGUAGUCGAAACUUCGUUCUCUCUUGAAUGUAUCCUGAGUACGGCGGAACACGUGAAAUUCCGUCGGAAUCUGGGAGGACCAUCUCCCAAGGCUAAAUACUCCCUAGUGAUCGAUAGUGAACCAGUACCGUGAGGGA